Molecule: ribosomal RNA, 467 nt
Filed under: uncultured bacterium
Lineage: Bacteria
Description: SSU rRNA
Rfam family: Bacterial small subunit ribosomal RNA
Source: RNAcentral
AGAACGAACGCUGGCGGCAUGCCUAACACAUGCAAGUCGAACGAGACCCCAAGUCUUCGGAUGGCGGGUUAGUGGGCGGCGACGGUAGCGUAACGCGUGGGAAUCUGCCCCUUGGUUCGGAAUAACAGUUAGAAAUGACUGCUAAUACCGGAUGACGACGUAAGUCCAAAGAUUUAUCGCCGAGGGAUGAGCCCGCGUAGGAUUAGCUAGUUGGUGAGGUAAUGGCUCACCAAGGCGACGAUCCUUAGCUGGUCUGAGAGGAUGAUCAGCCACACUGGGACUGAGACACGGCCCAGACUCCUACGGGAGGCAGCAGUGGGGAAUAUUGGACAAUGGGCGAAAGCCUGAUCCAGCAAUGCCGCGUGAGUGAUGAAGGCCUUAGGGUUGUAAAGCUCUUUUACCAGGGAUGAUAAUGACAGUACCUGGAGAAUAAGCUCCGGCUAACUCCGCGCCAGCAGCCGCGGUAA